GCCCUGUCACGCAGGCCUAGAUUUGUGACCCUGCUCAGCCACUUACAAGCUGUGUGACCUUCAGCCAAGUCGCUUAAGCUCUCUGAGACUUGUUUUCCUCCUCUAAGCAUGGGCACAGGAAGCAUACUCACCCUGCUCACCUUGCAGGGCUGUAGUGAGGAUCAGACAGGAUGGAGACGAAGGAGCUUUGGGAAUGAAAAGACCCUGGACAGAGGUGGUAUUGAGAGUGUGGGAGCAGCUUGCAGCCCUCAGGGGGAUGGAGCCCCUCCUCCAGGGAUGUUUAGCGUCAUAACCUGGUGUGCUUUGCUGCCGUGGCCCACCCUCUGGAUUUCCUGCCUCGAACUCACAUGUGGUGUGUGUGAUGUAGGUUUCUGUUUCCUUGUCUGUGAAAUAAGAGGUUGGACCAGAUGAGUUCUUAGUUCUACGAUUCCACGAAUGUCUUAGAAAGCAAAAUGCACAGAGCCAAAUUUCCUUUGCCAUGCCGAACGCCAGGGCAGCGGAGCCAGCAGUGUCGAUGCUGUAAAGCCCCAAGGAGAGUUCUAGACGGAAGGGCGCUGCUGUGUCCUGGUAAUGAUGUCAGGUGACUCAGACAGGUCUGGGACUGGAGAAGCUGGCUGUCUUGUCUGAACCUCCUUUGAAGUGGUGGUUUGCAACACUUUUACGAACUGGAGGUUGAACGAGAACAUGAAAGUCAUCUCAUUGGUAUGUUGUAUUUUCCCAAACACACCAUUUCAAAUCAAAACAUGGAAACAACUGUCUUAUUUUAGGAUUAUGCUUUGUAUUUGAACAUGCUGCUUACCAUCUAUUAGCUGACGGGGCUCUGGGACGCUCAGAGAACGAGUGACUGAGGUUUCCAGUCCUAAGGAGGUUGCUUUCAGCUCAGUCCAGGGAAGGAGAUUUUAACAAGCUGAGCUGGCCUUUUGAGGUGAGGAAUUGCCCGUCAAAGAAAAGCUCAGUGCUUACCCUCCCAACUCCCCGAGGCUCUCCUGCCCCCGAGUCAGGGAGACCCCUCCCCCCCAAAGCAGCCCCUCCUCCUCACUCUGCCAUGCCAUCCUGGCUUAGUGCUUUCACACUGAGCACUCCCUAAAAGUGCCACGUUCGUUUAGGUUUUACUUGUUGGUCAUCAUCUCACCAAACUGAAGGUAAAGUCUGGCAGAGCAGGCGCCGGGGCCCUGUUCACCGUGCUCUCUCCAGUGUUCCAUCUCCUGGCACUUAGCGGACACUCAGCAAAUACUGAAGGGAUAAAAUUCUGCUAUUGGUCCAGGGCUUUCUAGCUUCCAGUUUUGCAAGCCCAUCGUCCUACGGGAUUAGGCACUUCAAGAGCCUGGUUGCAGAUGUUCGAAGGAGCCGUGGUGUCCUGCGGUUAAUGAGAGUGGAGCCAGCACUGGGAGUGGGAUGUGUUUAGUCUUUCGUGGGCUGUGUGUCCUUGGGUGAGUCACCUAACCUUUCUGGGUCUUGGUUGCUUCAUCUGUAAAGGAGAGAGCUGGAUUCAGUUAUCUCCAAGGCUCUUUCCAGCUGGACUCCCUCGGGAUUCAAGGAUCCUGUGUUUGCACUCUCUCCUCUGUUCUCAAACUGUUUGUUCAGCUCUCUUUUAUUAGGGGUUCUAGGCCUAUUAAAACAGAAAAAAAAAUUAACUAGCCUUGGG
RNAcentral lists this long non-coding RNA (1645 nucleotides) under Equus asinus (donkey). Its description in RNAcentral is "lncRNA (ENSEASG00005025611.1)". The record is from RNAcentral. Lineage: Eukaryota; Metazoa; Chordata; Mammalia; Perissodactyla; Equidae.